UCACGCCGGGCGGCCUCGCGACACCACGCGGGCGGGAGGGAGUUGUAGUCCGGCCGCCGCCCCGGACGGCGCGCCGGCUGGGGAUCGGGCCCCGCGGGACUAUAAGGUCCACAAUACACUGCGCGCCGGAAGCCCACCCCGAGGCCGCCUGGGAAACGCGGGCCCAGACAGGAGGAGCUGAGGGCCCACUUCCGGACUAGCCGCCGCUAGGCCUCCUGCGCUUCGAGAGCUUCGACCGCCGAGGUCACCGAGGGGCCACUCUCGCUCAUCCCCCAAAUUCUCGGGAGGCGAGACAGACGCGGCCCCCGCCGCCAGGGGGUCCCUGCUGGCAGGCUGUUGGCAGAGAGUGUCUGGAAGCGGAGAAAGGGGAGAGUUUAACGUGUGAUGACUCCUGGGAGAGACAGGGCGCCGCGCACGUCGCACCCUCGUUCGGCCGUGGUGGCGAGGACACAGCCCCGCACUCGGGCGUCUUCGAAGGCGGGUGCUGGCCCCUCACCCCGCCAGCGGGAGCCCUGCCUGGACCCUGCCGAGUCGGGAGGGCGGACGGAGCCCAGUGACUCCUGCCCGCUGUCCCCUCCGAGCAGGGGCUGAUCCGGGGGACCCCUCGCAGCUCUGAAGUUGUAGUCCCUCCCCUGCUUCCGACCGACAGCGUUGCUAGACAUAUUAAUUGGUCCCAUAAGCAUUUGAGCAACUCUCAUGCAGAAAUCAGCGCCGUGUCCAGAGACGGGAGAAGCACGGCGCCUGCUCUCAGCCCCCGGGUCUCGCCGAACCGGGCGAACCAGGGCCCGAGGGCUGUCGGGUGUAGAUGCGGCUCCCAUCGUUGAGGAUUCCUCAGGAUUUCCUUUCGGUUCACAGUCUACAACAGUCUUAAGAGUCUGUCACGGGCCCUCAGUACCUACAAGAUGCAACUCAAGCUCCUAAGCGCGACCCAGAAGCCCCUCCGUAAUGUGGAGGUUGCUCCCCUCUCCGGCUUCAACUGCCUCCCUUCCCUGCCCAGAGCCAGGUUAGCAGAUUCGGAGGUCCCCAGACGGUCCAUGCUGUGCCUAAAAUGCCUUUCUCUCCCUGCCAACCAUCCUUCAGCAGCACCUGCUCUUCCUGUUGGGUCACAGUCCCGCCUCCAGGCCAUCUGCCGCAGUCUGCUGACUUGAGUGGAGACACCCAGAAUGUCACCUGUUCAUCACUACUAGUGCACAGACACCUGGAAGAUUCACGGGCAGCGUGUAGAAACUGAGCUCCCACUGAGGGCACAACCUGAAUGAUGGGAGUUGAAAUUCCUGUGGGCCCCCAGAGAGCCCUGAUUGCUGGCAGAGAAGCAGCCAGCAGGAAAGGUGGGUCCUAGCUGGUGCUCAGAAAUCUCUGCCACUUCCCUUACUCCUCUGUUCAUUCAUUCUUACAGCAAAUAAUUGUGUGCACAGUCAGUACCAGGUACUCUCAGGCACCAGAGUCACAGCACUUAGUAAGACAAACACUUCCUGGUCUCAUGGAGUUUCCAGUCCAGCCGAAUAAACAACUAAGUAAC
This is a long non-coding RNA of Lagenorhynchus albirostris (white-beaked dolphin), 1519 nucleotides long. RefSeq lists it as uncharacterized. The transcript has 2 exons. The record is from RefSeq and is a predicted model, not a curated record. NCBI's taxonomy places the organism in Eukaryota, Metazoa, Chordata, Mammalia, Artiodactyla, Delphinidae.